UACAUGUUAAUGUAGAGCGCAUAAAAGAUUUUGAUUCUUUAAGGUUUGGUGCAACCCCAAAACAUGUAA
RNAcentral lists this transfer RNA (69 nucleotides) under Leptestheria dahalacensis. RNAcentral describes it as "tRNA-Gln". Lineage: Eukaryota; Metazoa; Arthropoda; Branchiopoda; Diplostraca; Leptestheriidae. The record is from RNAcentral.